This 253-nucleotide ribosomal RNA is filed under the name uncultured bacterium. Its description in RNAcentral is "partial 16S ribosomal RNA". It matches the Rfam family "Bacterial small subunit ribosomal RNA", at positions 524 to 776 of the family's 1533-position model. The record is from RNAcentral.
UACAGGGGGGGCAAGCGUUGUUCGGAAUUACUGGGCGUAAAGGGUUUGUAGGUGGCCACUUAAGUCAGACGUGAAAUCCCUCAGCUUAACUGGGGAACUGCGUCUGAUACUGAGUGGCUUGAGUGCAGGAGAGGAACGCGGAAUUCCAGGUGUAGCGGUGAAAUGCGUAGAUAUCUGGAGGAAUACCGGUGGCGAAGGCGGCAUCCUGGACCAUUACUGACGCUGAGGCGCGAAAGCUAGGGGAGCAAACGGG